UACGGGAGGCAGCAGUGGGGAAUAUUGCACAAUGGGCGCAAGCCUGAUGCAGCCAUGCCGCGUGUAUGAAGAAGGCCUUCGGGUUGUAAAGUACUUUCAGUCGUGAGGAAGGUGUUAAGGUUAAUAACCUUAGCAAUUGACGUUAGCGACAGAAGAAGCACCGGCUAACUCCGUGCCAGCAGCCGCGGUAAUACGGAGAGGGCUAGCGUUAUUCGGAAUUAUUGGGCGUAAAGAGCGCGUAGGCUGAUUAGUAAGUUAAAAGUGAAAUCCCAAAGCUUAACUUUGGAAUUGCUUUUUAAACUGCUAGUCUAGAGAUUGAAAGAGGAUAGAGGAAUUCCUAGUGUAGAGGUGAAAUUCGUAAAUAUUAGGAGGAACACCAGUGGCGAAAGGCGUCUAUCUGGUUCAAAUCUGACGCUGAGGCGCGAAGGGCGUGGGGAGCAAACGAGGGAUUAGAUACC
Molecule: ribosomal RNA, 458 nt
Filed under: uncultured bacterium
Lineage: Bacteria
Description: bacterial SSU rRNA
Rfam family: Bacterial small subunit ribosomal RNA
Source: RNAcentral